RNAcentral lists this ribosomal RNA (461 nucleotides) under Streptococcus mitis. RNAcentral's name for it is "bacterial SSU rRNA". It matches the Rfam family "Bacterial small subunit ribosomal RNA", at positions 28 to 474 of the family's 1533-position model. Lineage: Bacteria; Bacillati; Bacillota; Bacilli; Lactobacillales; Streptococcaceae. The record is from RNAcentral.
GACGAACGCUGGCGGCGUGCCUAAUACAUGCAAGUAGAACGCUGAAGGAGGAGCUUGCUUCUCUGGAUGAGUUGCGAACGGGUGAGUAACGCGUAGGUAACCUGCCUGGUAGCGGGGGAUAACUAUUGGAAACGAUAGCUAAUACCGCAUAAGAGUAGAUGUUGCAUGACAUUUGCUUAAAAGGUGCAAUUGCAUCACUACCAGAUGGACCUGCGUUGUAUUAGCUAGUUGGUGAGGUAACGGCUCACCAAGGCGACGAUACAUAGCCGACCUGAGAGGGUGAUCGGCCACACUGGGACUGAGACACGGCCCAGACUCCUACGGGAGGCAGCAGUUGGGAAUCUUCGGCAAUGGACGGAAGUCUGACCGAGCAACGCCGCGUGAGUGAAGAAGGUUUUCGGAUCGUAAAGCUCUGUUGUAAGAGAAGAACGAGUGUGAGAGUGGAAAGUUCACACUGGACG